AUGGUCUCUCAGAAACUUGAACAGAUGCUCUAGUCUGCUGUCUUCUGGAGGAAUUAAACCUUAUGGCUAGAACUUUGAGUAACAUGAGCGCAACGAAAUAGUAAUUUGGGGGAAAAGGCAGAGAUCACUUUUAAUAGGUUAAUUAUUCAAUCAAGAAAAAGAAGGAACACCCAAUGUCAUCCUGGAGGAUCCAAAUCCUGUGGCAUGGCACAGAUCACAUCUCUGGGAUUUCAUUCUCUGCCUUCCACUUAGGAGGAGGAUGUCACCCAUCUUAAGCCUGGGCAUGUCUCUUGUCUCUGUGAUACCUAUCCUAAGGCUUAGAAGAUGCUACGACAGCUGUGACAAGGAGUGUUCUACCAGUUACAUAGCACAGUCACAUGCUGGUGCUUGAGCCUCUGUUACCUUUAACUUCCCUGUGCAAGUCCAGUCUCCCCCUUUCUUGGUGGAUUUACUGGUGGCUAAGAUUGCGUCUUAGUCACCUUUUCCUAUAGCACGUACUUAAUUUCCAGCUCUCUCUUUUAUCUGUUGUCAGUUUUCAUGAAAACUGUACAAAUGUUACAUUUUGGAGGAGCCAACAGUGCUGUCAGAUUGGGUUGGAAUGGACCAGUGGGUUGAAAAGCUAUUGCAAAGUCAUGGAGACACAGAAAUGCCCAUACUUAUAAGCAUAAAUAUGACUGAGCACUGUUCACUUUGUGGUGUCUGGUGUCACAGCAUUUUGAUGCCAUUGUCACUGUGUCCUUAGUAAGCCUCUGCCAAAUUCACAGUCUGGAAUUUGUCCUGUUUCACCUUGUUUUAUCACCUGGGGUUGAAAUGAAUUUUGAAACCAGAGGGAAGCACAAGGAGCUGGCACACAGUGGGGUCCUGGCUCUGAUCUCUCCAGAGCCACUGACUCACUCUGUGAUGUUCAGCAAGGCUGUUGACCUGCCUGUGCUUUGUGCUACACAGCUGGAAAAUGGAGUAAAAAAGAAAAAAAAGCAAUGGGAACAUCACUGAAAAGAGGAGAUGCAAAGAAUUUCUGGAUAAACAAAUCACCCAAGCCCAUCCACUCCAGCCACCCCCCUCCUCCUCUCUUCACCUUAUAGUUCAAGCAAGAAGGAGUUUAAAGUGGAAAGUCUGAGGCUGUGUUUUCUUACAUGUUUUGGAUCCUCCUUUAACUGUGAAAAUGUUCAAAGUGAAAACUUGGCCUGGCAACAGUUUCUGAAUGACCUUGCUUUGGCUGUGAAAUCCACUGCAGCUAUGCAGGAGCAGAUUUUUAUAGUCUUCUCUGGUAGAGAAACAAAAAGGUUUAUUAUUUUUUUAUUAGUAUUGUUGUUAUUAUUAUUAUAAAGGAAACUUUAUACAGACUGUGUGUUAUGCUUUCUCCUAGUGUUCAAGGUCAAAUCUGCAGUUCUUGUCUCACUUUUCCCCACUCACUUUAUAUAACCCCAAAAAACCCUGCUCUCUCACUGCAGAUGCUCCACAGCAGCAGAGAGGAAGGACAGAAGUGCAAGAAGACAGUGUAACAUUGCUGCCAUUGCAGCCAUACACAGUAAAGUCUCACGUCUAGGCAAUGUGAUCUUGUAGUUUAAAGUUGCUAAUUACAAUUGCUUAAUGGAAGUGUGACAAAUGCUGCCUCCUAAUUGAAAGGAGUAGUGAUUCACAGGAAGCCUAACAUAUCCAGGACUCCCAGAUACAAGUUCCUUAUGCUACAAGCCAUGAUGCUGGAGAUAAACACCUCCAGUGUAUUAACUUCAAGCCAUAACUUAAAAAUGGCUGAAGACACCACUGGUGAAGAUUUGAUAACAACUGCUCUCCAGUUUGGUAGUGAGUGCAGGAUCAGAAGCUGUGUCUGAACUUCUAGACCUCAGCUGGAGCUAACUUGAUGGUCCUCAAGCACCCUCUGCUAAACACUGCAAUAGAUUGCUGCAGGCCAUUUUUGCCAGGGCACUAUAUGCAGCACCAACCAUGUACUGAUUGAGAAAAAACAUUUAUGUUUGCUGAAAAGGCUUCACUCUAUGUGGCAGUGGUUCUUUACAUGUGCAGCCAAUACACACCACACCUCGACAAGACCCACAAGUGCACACAGCACAGGAGAUUAGGAUAUAUGUGCCUGCACACUCUUAUGAAGUUGAGCCUUAGGUGACAACUAAUUCUGAAUGACGUGUUAAAAAAAGCCACAGAUCUGCAGUAAGGGCUAAUCCUAACCUGAAAAAAUGCUUCUCUUUCUAUCCUUGUCUGACCCUUGGGAAAGAAAGCCUAGUCUUUGACAUUGACUUUACCCAUGGCCUUAGGCAAGUCUUAGUCUCAACUUCUUAGCUUUAUACACUGGGCAUAAUAAACAUUUUGUUUUAGUUG
Molecule: long non-coding RNA, 2334 nt
Organism: Pezoporus flaviventris
Lineage: Eukaryota; Metazoa; Chordata; Aves; Psittaciformes; Psittacidae
Exons: 2
Source: RefSeq, a predicted model, not a curated record